RNAcentral lists this ribosomal RNA (775 nucleotides) under uncultured Streptococcaceae bacterium. RNAcentral describes it as "bacterial SSU rRNA". It matches the Rfam family "Bacterial small subunit ribosomal RNA", at positions 79 to 841 of the family's 1533-position model. Lineage: Bacteria; Bacillati; Bacillota; Bacilli; Lactobacillales; Streptococcaceae. The record is from RNAcentral.
ACACCGUAUUCUGUGAGUUGCGAACGGGUGAGUAACGCGUAGGUAACCUGCCUGGUAGCGGGGGAUAACUAUUGGAAACGAUAGCUAAUACCGCAUAAGAACAUUUACUGCAUGGUAGAUGUUUAAAAGGUGCAAAAGCAUCACUACCAGAUGGACCUGCGUUGUAUUAGCUAGUUGGUGAGGUAACGGCUCACCAAGGCAACGAUACAUAGCCGACCUGAGAGGGUGAUCGGCCACACUGGGACUGAGACACGGCCCAGACUCCUACGGGAGGCAGCAGUAGGGAAUCUUCGGCAAUGGGGGGAACCCUGACCGAGCAACGCCGCGUGAGUGAAGAAGGUUUUCGGAUCGUAAAGCUCUGUUGUUAAGGAAGAACGUGUGUGAGAGUGGAAAGUUCACACAGUGACGGUACUUAACCAGAAAGGGACGGCUAACUACGUGCCAGCAGCCGCGGUAAUACGUAGGUCCCGAGUGUUGUCCGGAUUUAUUGGGCGUAAAGCGAGCGCAGGCGGUUAGAUAAGUCUGAAGUGAAAGGCAGUGGCUCAACCAUUGUAGGCUUUGGAAACUGUUUAACUUGAGUGCAGAAGGGGAGAGUGGAAUUCCAUGUGUAGCGGUGAAAUGCGUAGAUAUAUGGAGGAACACCGGUGGCGAAAGCGGCUCUCUGGUCUGUAACUGACGCUGAGGCUCGAAAGCGUGGGGAGCGAACAGGAUUAGAUACCCUGGUAGUCCACGCCGUAAACGAUGAGUGCUAGGUGUUAGGUCCUUUCCGGGACUU